GGGGAUGAAACGGUUUCGACAGGGAAGUGGAGGGUUACAGACGGCGAGCCGAGCUGUUCCAACUCGUUAAACUGGGCAAAACAAUAAUUGCCGAAAAAGUACCGGCUAACGUUAAAUCCUUCUACCGACUGCCCGUCGCGGCUUAAGUAUAAGGAAAUAACACUGACCUUCUAAGCUAAGGUCACGCUCGCGCUCUGCCUUCCCCCGAAAGGUGGGGCCGGGUGUCAACUAAGUCGGGGUGCUCCGGGGCGAUGUUGCUAAACCUCGGCUAAGAACAGCAACUGGUUUGGGUGAACCUGGACGGCAAGCGAACCCCAAACGACAAUCCGAGGGCCGUCUACGCUCGUAGAUGUUUGUAACUAGCUUUCAUGGACGCGGGUUCGACUCCCGCCAUCUCCACC
This 401-nucleotide transfer-messenger RNA is filed under the name Chloroflexota bacterium. It matches the Rfam family "transfer-messenger RNA". Rfam says of the family: Bacterial tmRNA, also known as 10Sa RNA or SsrA, is named for its dual tRNA and mRNA-like properties. Lineage: Bacteria; Bacillati; Chloroflexota. The record is from RNAcentral.